GACGCAUUGGUCUAGUGGUAAGACAUCCAGAUGAUAUCCCCAUGCCAAAAGCGAUUUCUCUGGAGGUCUUGGGUUCGAUUCCCAAAUGUGUCG
Mycena galopus ATCC 62051 is the source of this 93-nucleotide non-coding RNA. NCBI's taxonomy places the organism in Eukaryota, Fungi, Basidiomycota, Agaricomycetes, Agaricales, Mycenaceae. The record is from the annotation of a GenBank genome assembly.